AUUAAUAAUUACAACUUUUAACAACGGAUCUCUUGGUUCUGGCAUCGAUGAAGAACGCAGCGAAAUGCGAUAAGUAGUGUGAAUUGCAGAAUUCAGUGAAUCAUCGAAUCUUUGAACGCACAUUGCGCCCUUUGGUAUUCCAAAGGGCAUGCCUGUUCGAGCGUCAUUUGUACCCUCAAGCUUUGCUUGGUGUUGGGCGUCUUGUCUCCAGUUCGCUGGAGACUCGCCUUAAAGUCAUUGGCAGCCGGCCUACUGGUUUCGGAGCGCAGCACAAGUCGCGCUCUCUUUCCAGCCAAGGUCAGCAUCCACAAAGCCUUUUUUCAACUUUUGACCUCGGAUCAGGUAGGGAUACCCGCUGAACUUAAGCAUAUCAAUAAGCGGAGGAAAAGAAACCAACAGGGAUUGCCCUAGUAACGGCGAGUGAAGCGGCAACAGCUCAAAUUUGAAAUCUGGCUCUUUUAGAGUCCGAGUUGUAAUUUGCAGAGGGCGCUUUGGCUUUGGCAGCGGUCCAAGUUCCUUGGAACAGGACGUCACAGAGGGUGAGAAUCCCGUACGUGGUCGCUGGCUAUUGCCGUGUAAAGCCCCUUCGACGAGUCGAGUUGUUUGGGAAUGCAGCUCUAAAUGGGAGGUACAUUUCUUCUAAAGCUAAAUAUUGGCCAGAGACCGAUAGCGCACAAGUAGAGUGAUCGAAAGAUGAAAAGCACUUUGGAAAGAGAGUCAAACAGCACGUGAAAUUGUUAAAAGGGAAGCGCUUGCAGCCAGACUUGCUUACAGUUGCUCAUCCGGGCUUUUGCCCGGUGCACUCUUCUGUAGGCAGGCCAGCAUCAGUUUGGGCGGUAGGAUAAAGGUCUCUGUCACGUACCUCCUUUCGGGGAGGCCUUAUAGGGGAGACGACAUACUACCAGCCUGGACUGAGGUCCGCGCAUCUGCUAGGA
Molecule: ribosomal RNA, 935 nt
Filed under: Alternaria alternata
Lineage: Eukaryota; Fungi; Ascomycota; Dothideomycetes; Pleosporales; Pleosporaceae
Description: eukaryotic LSU rRNA
Rfam family: Eukaryotic large subunit ribosomal RNA (bases 329-935)
Source: RNAcentral